GGGUGUAGCUCAGUGGUAGAGCAUGUGCUUAGCAUGCAGGAGGUCCUGGGUUCAAUCCCUAGUACGCCCA
RNAcentral lists this transfer RNA (70 nucleotides) under Camelus bactrianus (Bactrian camel). It matches the Rfam family "tRNA". Rfam says of the family: Transfer RNA (tRNA) molecules are approximately 80 nucleotides in length. Their secondary structure includes four short double-helical elements and three loops (D, anti-codon, and T loops). Further hydrogen bonds mediate the characteristic L-shaped molecular structure. tRNAs have two regions of fundamental functional importance: the anti-codon, which is responsible for specific mRNA codon recognition, and the 3' end, to which the tRNAs corresponding amino acid is attached (by aminoacyl-tRNA synthetases). tRNAs cope with the degeneracy of the genetic code in two manners: having more than one tRNA (with a specific anti-codon) for a particular amino acid; and 'wobble' base-pairing, i.e. permitting non-standard base-pairing at the 3rd anti-codon position. Lineage: Eukaryota; Metazoa; Chordata; Mammalia; Artiodactyla; Camelidae. RNAcentral also lists the same sequence under 3 other names. The record is from Rfam by way of RNAcentral.